CGGGGCGUAGCGCAGUCUGGUAGCGCACUUGACUGGGGGUCAAGGGGCCGGAGGUUCGAAUCCUCUCGCCCCGA
This 74-nucleotide transfer RNA is filed under the name Nannocystis exedens. RNAcentral's name for it is "tRNA-Pro". It matches the Rfam family "tRNA". Rfam says of the family: Transfer RNA (tRNA) molecules are approximately 80 nucleotides in length. Lineage: Bacteria; Pseudomonadati; Myxococcota; Nannocystales; Nannocystaceae. The record is from RNAcentral.